CAUCACACAAGACAAAACAACAACAAUGAACAACAUCAUCAUCUUCAUCUGGACCAUUGCAGCUUUUAUUCAAGAGUCCAGAGGAGUCACUUUGACUCAACCCGAAGUUAAAACUGUCCAGCAGGGUCAAACAGCUACAAUAGAGUGCCAGAUUGACACUGCUAUACGCUACAAUCACUUAUACUGGUAUCAGCAGAAACCUGGAGAAGCUCCUAAACUCCUGAUAUAUUAUAUAAACACCCUUCAGUCAGGAACUCCAUCUAGAUUCAGUGGCAGUGGAACAAGAGAUACUGGAAGAGAUUUCACUCUGACCAUCAGUGGAGUCCAGACUGAAGAUAGAGGAGAUUAUUACUGUCAGAGUUACCACUACAUCAACAGUAAAUAUGUGUUCACACAGUGA
Molecule: non-coding RNA, 400 nt
Organism: Sinocyclocheilus anshuiensis
Lineage: Eukaryota; Metazoa; Chordata; Actinopteri; Cypriniformes; Cyprinidae
Source: the annotation of a RefSeq genome assembly